This 1127-nucleotide ribosomal RNA is filed under the name Paracellulophaga baltica. RNAcentral's name for it is "Cellulophaga baltica bacterial SSU rRNA". It matches the Rfam family "Bacterial small subunit ribosomal RNA", at positions 78 to 1210 of the family's 1533-position model. Lineage: Bacteria; Pseudomonadati; Bacteroidota; Flavobacteriia; Flavobacteriales; Flavobacteriaceae. The record is from RNAcentral.
GCUUGCUCCGCUGACGACCGGCGCACGGGUGCGCAACGCGUAUGCAAUCUACCUCUUACUAAGGGAUAGCCCAGAGAAAUUUGGAUUAAUAUCUUAUGUGAUAUUAGACUGGCAUCGGUUUAAUAUUAAAGGUUACGGUAAGAGAUGAGCAUGCGUCUCAUUAGUUAGUUGGUAAGGUAACGGCUUACCAAGACUUCGAUGAGUAGGGGUCCUGAGAGGGAGAUCCCCCACACUGGUACUGAGACACGGACCAGACUCCUACGGGAGGCAGCAGUGAGGAAUAUUGGACAAUGGACGGAAGUCUGAUCCAGCCAUGCCGCGUGUAGGAAGACUGCCCUAUGGGUUGUAAACUACUUUUAUACAGGAAGAAUAAGAUCUACGUGUAGAUUGAUGACGGUACUGUAAGAAUAAGGACCGGCUAACUCCGUGCCAGCAGCCGCGGUAAUACGGAGGGUCCGAGCGUUAUCCGGAAUUAUUGGGUUUAAAGGGUCCGUAGGCGGGCUGUUAAGUCAGAGGUGAAAUGCUGCGGCUCAACCGUAUGCACUGCCUUUGAUACUGGCGGUCUUGAGUUAUAGUGAAGUGGCUAGAAUAAGUAGUGUAGCGGUGAAAUGCAUAGAUAUUACUUAGAAUACCGAUUGCGAAGGCAGGUCACUAACUAUACACUGACGCUGAUGGACGAAAGCGUGGGUAGCGAACAGGAUUAGAUACCCUGGUAGUCCACGCCGUAAACGAUGGAUACUAGCUGUUCGGUUUUCGGACUGAGCGGCCAAGCGAAAGUGAUAAGUAUCCCACCUGGGGAGUACGUUCGCAAGAAUGAAACUCAAAGGAAUUGACGGGGGCCCGCACAAGCGGUGGAGCAUGUGGUUUAAUUCGAUGAUACGCGAGGAACCUUACCAGGGCUUAAAUGUAGAUUGACAGGUUUAGAGAUAGACUUUUCUUCGGACAAUUUACAAGGUGCUGCAUGGUUGUCGUCAGCUCGUGCCGUGAGGUGUCAGGUUAAGUCCUAUAACGAGCGCAACCCCUGUCGUUAGUUGCCAGCAUGUCAUGAUGGGGACUCUAACGAGACUGCCGGUGCAAACCGUGAGGAAGGUGGGGAUGACGUCAAAUCAUCACGGCCCUUACGUCCU